GCCGGUUUAGCUCAGCUGGUAGAGCAGUUGAUUUGUAAUCAUCAGGUCGUUCGUUCGAGUCGGACAACCGGCACCA
This 76-nucleotide transfer RNA is filed under the name Rickettsiales bacterium. RNAcentral describes it as "tRNA-Thr". It matches the Rfam family "tRNA". From Rfam's summary of the family: Transfer RNA (tRNA) molecules are approximately 80 nucleotides in length. Their secondary structure includes four short double-helical elements and three loops (D, anti-codon, and T loops). Further hydrogen bonds mediate the characteristic L-shaped molecular structure. tRNAs have two regions of fundamental functional importance: the anti-codon, which is responsible for specific mRNA codon recognition, and the 3' end, to which the tRNAs corresponding amino acid is attached (by aminoacyl-tRNA synthetases). tRNAs cope with the degeneracy of the genetic code in two manners: having more than one tRNA (with a specific anti-codon) for a particular amino acid; and 'wobble' base-pairing, i.e. permitting non-standard base-pairing at the 3rd anti-codon position. Lineage: Bacteria; Pseudomonadati; Pseudomonadota; Alphaproteobacteria; Rickettsiales. The record is from RNAcentral.